This 491-nucleotide unclassified non-coding RNA is filed under the name uncultured Boothiomyces. RNAcentral's name for it is "sequence contains ITS1, 5.8S rRNA gene, ITS2". The stretch from base 154 to 299 matches the Rfam family "5.8S ribosomal RNA". The record is from RNAcentral. Lineage: Eukaryota; Fungi; Chytridiomycota; Chytridiomycetes; Rhizophydiales; Terramycetaceae.
CUGAAUUUGUGCUGCUGGCUGGGAACGGGCAACCAAGUACCGCCUGGAGCAAAUUUACACCUGUGCACUUGAAUGUCUUUUGGGAGCUUUUCGGGGCUCCCAGCAUUGAUAAACACCUAUUGACCACGUCUGAACAUUUAUUUAAAUAUAAACAACUUUUGACAACGGAUCUCUAGGCUCUCGCAACGAUGAAGAACGCAGCGAAAUGCGAUACGUAAUGUGAAUUGCAGAAUUCCGUGAAUCAUCGAAUCUUUGAACGCAUAUUGCACCUCUCCGGAGGUAUGCCUGUUUGAGAAUCUAUAGUAUCUUUUCCCCAGUACCUCUGGUCUGGGGGAGAUUUGGGGCGUCUCGCUGAGUGCCCUUAAAGCUAUAGCUUGACACUGACCGAGUGCUAGAGCGUAUGUAUUUGAAACUCUCCGAGUACCUGUACGAAACUCUGGCGCGAGCUCGCUCUGGGCCAAGCCCACCACGGAGGUUGAAGAAACCCGAAC